GACGAGCCACACGAACGUUAUUCGGAAUUACUGGGCUUAAAGGGUGCGUAGGCUGCGCGGAAAGUUGGGUGUGAAAUCCCUCGGCUCAACCGAGGAACUGCGCCCAAAACUGCCGUGCUCGAGGAAGAUAGAGGUAAGCGGAACUUACGGUGGAGCGGUGAAAUGCGUUGAUAUCGGAAGGAACAUCGGUGGCGAAAGCGGCGCGCUGGAUCCCUUCUGACGCUGAGGCGCGAAAGCCAGGGGAGCGAACGGG
This 253-nucleotide ribosomal RNA is filed under the name uncultured bacterium. RNAcentral describes it as "partial 16S ribosomal RNA". It matches the Rfam family "Bacterial small subunit ribosomal RNA", at positions 524 to 776 of the family's 1533-position model. The record is from RNAcentral.